UCUCUCCCCUUGCAAUUGGCAGCGAGUAGCAAGGGGAAGGUGUUGGCACAGACCUGGGUAGGCUUACGGUGCAUAAAUGUACAUUAAGCAUCAUCUGGACUCCAGGGGUGGGGGAAGCUGCCAAGUUCAACUCUGCCCUUCUCUUCUGUCAUCGUUUCCCUUUUUCCCCUUCAUGUCAAAUACGUUCAUGCCGGGUGCUGGACCUGCUCAUCCUGGAAGCAAGGAAAGGCUUCAGUCCUUGGCUGAAGGAGGGGCAAAUUCAGUCCCUCUUAGUUCUGAAGUGUUUGCUCCUGUGACCGCUUUUCCAGACCCGUGGUUUUACCUUGGAGUUCCUGUGCUAGAGGUGACUUGUAGAAGCACCAAGCUUGUUUCAGCUCUGCGUGUGGCAGGAGCUGCCUGGCCAGGUCCUGAUUCCAGUCUGUCAUUCUGUGUGUAA
This 436-nucleotide long non-coding RNA is filed under the name Anas platyrhynchos (mallard). RNAcentral describes it as "lncRNA (ENSAPLG00020008397.1)". Lineage: Eukaryota; Metazoa; Chordata; Aves; Anseriformes; Anatidae. The record is from RNAcentral.